Non-coding RNA from Cricetulus griseus (Chinese hamster), 288 nucleotides. The record is from RefSeq and is a predicted model, not a curated record. Lineage: Eukaryota; Metazoa; Chordata; Mammalia; Rodentia; Cricetidae.
UUUCUUUCUUGCUUCUAGGGACCAGAAGGCCCUCGGGGAGAAACAGGUCCUGCAGGACCCCAGGGCCCCCCUGGACCCCAAGGACCCAGUGGUCUGUCCAUUCAAGGCAUGCCUGGUAUGCCAGGUGACAAAGGAGAUAAAGGAGAUGCUGGCCUUCCUGGUCCACAGGGUGUCCCUGGAGGUGUGGGUUCACCAGGACGUGAUGGCUCCCCAGGCCAGAGGGUAAGAACUUGCCAAAUAUUGGUUCUAGGCAAGGUAUACUUCCUGCCUAGUCAUUUUGCUGCAGAC